This is a long non-coding RNA of Epinephelus moara (kelp grouper), 615 nucleotides long. RefSeq lists it as uncharacterized. The transcript has 3 exons. The record is from RefSeq and is a predicted model, not a curated record. NCBI's taxonomy places the organism in Eukaryota, Metazoa, Chordata, Actinopteri, Perciformes, Serranidae.
AGAUUUAUAAGAGCCACAGAUCCUCGGCACUGGUUUGGCACAAGACUUCCCGAGCAGGACAUGUAACCCACAAAAUUUAGCCAGUGUCCAGGGCUGCUCACAGCUUUGCUUCUUGUGAGAUUAAACGAAGAUGGUCUUAAAAUGGUUUUACCACAAGAAAACUUCCCCACAAGGAAUACACCUGUUGUCUUCCCCUGAGGCCUCACACUGCCACUCUGAGGAGUUUACAACUAAAUGAUAGAUCCAGAUGGUUUACCACAGAUCAUGGGGAGACAAUACAGGUUUUACAUCACUGCAAACUGAUCAGGAUCGAGUGCCAGUUACCUAACCAUCCACUCUGUGACCCACUAAAUCGAUAAUAAAUUCACAGCAAACCUGCUCCUGUCGCUCUCUGUAGCAUUUACAAGCUAUAUAUAACAUUUAAAGGUGCAGCAAUUCUGGAGAAAGAUAAUAGAUUAUUGAAUCAUAUACAGACGACUUGGUUGGUUGUCGGACUGAACCACCAACCCAAACAACCUGGAAAUGAGACUCAACAAUCAACAAUCUUUCUCCAGAAUUGCAUACUGCAACUUUAAUAUGUGAUUUAUUACACAUUAAAAUGUGUUUGAAAGCACA